CAUUGGUGCUCUCGCGACGAGAAGCUGUGAACCCCGCCAGGUCCGGAAGGAAGCAACGGUAGCAGUGGAUACGGGUGCCGAGAAUCUGCUGGUGUGA
Molecule: signal recognition particle RNA, 97 nt
Filed under: Thiothrix sp.
Lineage: Bacteria; Pseudomonadati; Pseudomonadota; Gammaproteobacteria; Thiotrichales; Thiotrichaceae
Also listed under: 1 other name
Description: signal recognition particle sRNA small type
Rfam family: Bacterial small signal recognition particle RNA
About the family: The signal recognition particle (SRP) is a universally conserved ribonucleoprotein involved in the co-translational targeting of proteins to membranes.
Source: RNAcentral